Molecule: transfer RNA, 69 nt
Filed under: Ictidomys tridecemlineatus (thirteen-lined ground squirrel)
Lineage: Eukaryota; Metazoa; Chordata; Mammalia; Rodentia; Sciuridae
Description: Spermophilus tridecemlineatus (thirteen-lined ground squirrel) tRNA
Rfam family: tRNA
About the family: Transfer RNA (tRNA) molecules are approximately 80 nucleotides in length. Their secondary structure includes four short double-helical elements and three loops (D, anti-codon, and T loops).
Source: Rfam by way of RNAcentral
GGGGCUGUGGCUCAGUGGAAGAGCACUUGCCUAGCAUGUGUGAGGCACUGGGUUCGAUUCUCAGCACCA